AUAAGGUCAAGGUAAAAAGGGCUUACGGCGGAUGCCUAGGCGACGGGAGGCGAAGAAGGACGUGGCAAGCUGCGAAAAGCCACGGGGAGCUGCAAGCGAGCGUAGAUCCGUGGAUGUCCGAAUGGGGGAACCCAAAAGAUCCCGAAAGGGAGGCGAACCCGGGGAAGGGAAACAUCUUAGUACCCGGAGGAAAAGAAAUCAAGAGAGAUUCCCUGAGUAGUGGCGAGCGAAAGGGGAGGAGCCCAAACCAUACUGGUGUAAAAGGGUGCUGCCGUUGCCAGUAUGGGGUAGCGGGACAUAAUCGGAGCCGACAGCACGAGGCUCGGUCACGAAGCAUGUAUAGCCGAAAUACCUGGGAAGGUAUGCCGGAGAGGGUGAAAGCCCCGUAGGCGAAAUACAUGUGAGUGGCUGGAUUAUGAUCCCAAGUAGCGUGGGACACGAGGAAUCCUGCGUGAAUCAGGGUGGACCACCAUCCAAGGCUAAAUACUACCCGUCGACCGAUAGCGUAGAAGUACCGUGAGGGAAAGGUGAAAAGGACCCCGGGAGGGGAGUGAAAGAGAACCUGAAACCGUAAGCCUACAAGAAGUGGGAGCUCGAGAGAGUGACCGCGUGCCUUUUGAUUAAUGUGCCCACGAAUUGCAUGUACUGGCGAGGUUAAGCCGGGAGAGGCGAAGCCGAAGUGAAAGCGAGCCUGAAGAGGGCGGAUAGUCAGUAUAUGCAGACCCGAAGCCAGGUGAGCUAUCCAUGGGCAGGGUGAAGUUGCGGUGAAACGCAAUGGAGGCCCGAACCGGUAUGCAGUGAAACGCAUUCGGAUGACCUGUGGAUAGGGGUGAAAAGCCAACCGAACCUGGUGAUAGCUGGAUCUCCCCGAAACGUGUGUAGGCACGGCCUCGUACAAGACUAACGGGGGUAGAGCACUGAUAGGCGUAGGGGGGUAACCUCCGAAACUUGUCAAACUCCGAAUACCGUUAGUUGAUGUACGGGAGACAGACUGUGGGGGAAAAGCUCCAUGGUCGAGAGGGAAACAGCCCAGACCGCCAGCUAAGGUCUCGAAGAGACGGCUAAGUGUGAAAGGUAGUGGACUGCCAGAGACAGCCGGGAUGUUGGCUUAGAAGCAGCCAUCAUUAAAAGAGUGCGUAACAGCUCACCGGUUGAGGCGGACUGCGCCGAAAAUGUAAGGAGGCUGAAGCCGUACGCCGAAGCUGCGGAAUCUGCGGAUUGGUAGGGGAGCAUUGUGCAGUAGGGAGAAGGUAAUUCGUGAGGAUUACUGGACGAAGCACAAGAGCGGAUGUGGGCAUGAGUAACGAGAGGAGGGUGAGAAUCCCUCCCCCCGAAAGCCCAAGGGUACCUGGGGAAGGGUCGUCCGCCCAGGGUAAGCCGGGACCUAAGGUGAAUCCGAAAGGAGUAACCGAUGGGAAACUGGUAAAGAAUCCAGUGCCAUGUAUAUACGAGAUAAGAGGGGGGACGCAGAAGGCGAAGCCUCGUGAGCAAGUGGCACGCUCAUCCAAGCGCAAAGGACAGAGAAGGUAGUAGGUAAAUCCGCUACUGGAGUCUGAAGCGUGAAGGGGAGGACAUAAGUCCAACGAGGUGGUAGCCCGGCUGCCAAGAAAAGCCUCGCUUAUCGUUGAGUAUAUACAUGCCCGUUCCGAAAACCGACACAGGUGGGUGAGCUGAGAAGGCUAAGGGGAGCAGGCUAACCUCCGCUAAGGAACUCGGCAAAAUAGCCCCGUAACUUCGGGAGAAGGGGUGCUCCUUGGUGUGGGCAACUGCACCGGGGAGUCGCAGUGACAAGGCCCAGGCGACUGUUUACCAAAAACACAGGACUCUGCGAACUCGGAAAGAGGAAGUAUAGGGUCUGACGCCUGCCCAGUGCCGGAAGGUUAAGGGGAGUUGUGAGAGCAACGAACCGAAGCCCCGGUAAACGGCGGCCGUAACUAUAACGGUCCUAAGGUAGCGAAAUUCCUUGUCGGGUAAGUUCCGACCUGCAUGAAUGGCGUAACGAUUUGGGCACUGUCUCAGCGGAGGGCCUGGUGAAAUUACAGACUGGGUGAAGAUGCCCAGUACCCGCAGUUAGACGGAAAGACCCCGUGGAGUUUUACUGUAGCCUGACAUUGUAACUUGUCAUGUUGUGUACAGGAUAGGUGGGAGGCAGAGAAACCUGCUCGCCAGGGUAGGUGGAGCCGCCGGUGGGAUACCACCCUCAGCAUGAUGGGUUACUAACCAUUGAGUGUGAAGAGCACUGAUGGGACAGUGUUAGGUGGGCAGUUUGACUGGGGCGGUCGCCUCCUAAAGAGUAACGGAGGUGCGCGAAGGUAGGCUCAUGUGGGUUGGAAAUCCACAGGAGAGUGUAAAGGCAAAAGCCUGCCUGACUGCGAGACUGACAGGUCGAGCAGGGUGGAAACACGGUCUUAGUGACCCGGCGGAUCCGAGUGGAAGGGCCGUCGAUCAACGGAUAAAAGUUACCCCGGGGAUAACAGGCUUAUCGCGCUCAAGAGUUCAUAUCGACGGCGCGGAUUGGCACCUCGAUGUCGACUCAUCGCAUCCUGGGGCUGAAGUAGGUCCCAAGGGUUGGGCUGUUCGCCCAUUAAAGCGGUACGUGAGUUGGGUUCAGAACGUCGUGAGACAGUUCGGUCCCUAUCUGCUGCGGGCGUAGGAAACUUGAGGGGGGUCACACCUAGUACGAGAGGACCGGUGUGAGGGUACCACUGGUAAAUCAGCUGUUCCGCCAGGAGCAGGAGCUGAGUAGCCACGUACCUGACCGAUAACCGCUGAAAGCAUCUAAGCGGGAAACGGGCCCCGAGAUGAGGUUUCCCACUCCAUAUGGAGGUAAGGGCAGUUCGAGACUAGGACGUAGAUAGGCCGGAGGUGUAAGUACAGUGAUGUAUUGAGCCGACCGGUACUAAUAGCCCGAGGCCUUGACCUUAU
This 2925-nucleotide ribosomal RNA is filed under the name Marinitoga sp. 1137. Its description in RNAcentral is "bacterial LSU rRNA". It matches the Rfam family "Bacterial large subunit ribosomal RNA". The record is from RNAcentral. Lineage: Bacteria; Thermotogati; Thermotogota; Thermotogae; Petrotogales; Petrotogaceae. RNAcentral also lists the same sequence under 2 other names.